AUAGCCACAUGUCUCCUGCAGCCAAUCAGUGAAGCCAUCCUUGUUGCCACCUUAUCUCUGGGAUAGAGAUGAAAAUCCCAACUGUCAGUCACAUGUUCCUGGUAGCCAAUUAGAAAAGCCAUCCUUGUUGCAUUCUACUCUUCUGGGAUAAGGAAGAAAUCCGCUUUACCAAUAUCCCUGGAUGAUGUGGAUACAGAAACAAAUGGGAAAGACAACAGUGAUGUUCUAACAUCUGAAAGCCAUCCCACCCAGAGAGCAGGUCUAUGACCUCAAAGAAAAAUGGGACAUCAAACCGGGGCACAGACUUCAGGAGGAAGUGGUUUCUUUUAUUCAGUAAAAUAUAAAAUUAUAAAUAUUUAAGAAGGUGCAACUCAGUACACAGCAGCGUUUCCAGCCCGGACCAGGCUCUUCGUCAGGCAAUAUGGAAUCACAUGGGGAAUGGGGAUUACAAGACAAUAAUGGUAAUUCCUUCCGGUUCAGGGACCAGGCCAGUAGAACUGGAAACAGUUAAAAUUAAAUAAUUAUAUAAUAAUAAAAUAGUGAAGCAGUCAUGUGUAAAAACAAUAUACAAUUAAAACAGUUCACAAAUAAGAUGCAGAAUAUAGUAGGAAUGAUACAGUCGAAAUUUUGUGAAAUAAGAACAAAAAGUGGUACGUAGCCUGAGGUCAUGAUGUGGUAGAGCUAACAGCGGCGCAGGCGCACAUCAGUAGGGCCAGCAGAUGUCAGAGAGGAAGUAUGGGUUAAUGCGCAUGCGCUUGACGUGUAGAGAGCAGAUUUUCAGGAUGCACAAGCGUGAUGGACCAGAAGAAGGAAUGGGCAGCCGAUAGGGGGGUUUCAGCUUUUUCAAGUGUUUAGACCGGGAUCAGUAUUUGACCGGAAAAUGCUGUAAAAGGUAAGGGCCCACUAUGAGAUAAUUUCUCGGACUUCAUUCAGUCCGUGGGGAGACAAAGUUUGUAUUUUGUAGAUCCAGUAUAUUUCGAGUCUCAGUUUUUCAAAUCUAUUGUUGAUGGUGGCAGGGACAAAGUCAAUAGGUAUAAUGGAGAUGGCUGGUUCUGGUCUGGAUGUAGAAAUGUGAUGUGUUUAGAGAGGCCAUGUAAUAAAAAUUUCCUUUUUAUGUUUAAUCUGUGCUGAUUUAAUCUCAAAUGGAGGGGUCUUGUUACAUUGGAUCAUGUAAAUGAGGUGAUUAGAGCAGCAGGUAAGGUGGUAUUUUAUGCUAAAAGUUUCUCCCGUAGAGGAUGAGGUGAAAACCGAUUUUCCAUGGAUGAUCUGGGUACAGCAGAGGCAGCGUAGUUUUUUACAUUUAAAGCUGCCUUUGUCCAAUGGUUUUCCGAAGAGAUCUUUGGGAAUGCUGUAUUUUUGUUGCUGUCUUCUGAUCUGUGCUAGAUUAGUGCUAGAAUAGUUUUGAGCGAUGGUGCUCUCCUGUAUGUGCAUCGUGGUCGAGGAGGAAUUAGGGGACCCAAAAAAAGGGUAGGCUUUGAGGAUGUGCCAAUGGCGUGUUAAUAUAUUCUUAAUCUGGCUUGCAUCAUUACUGUGGGUGGUAAUCAGGUUCGAUGAGAAUGGAUUCUUUCUUUUUUCUUUAUGUUCGUUUGAAGAUGGUCUUGUGGGAUCGCUUUUCAUGUGGUUUAGACAGACUGUUUUAGAUAAUCUCUUGGUGCGAUUGCAGGCUUCAUUGAGAAUUUUUUCUGGUAGUUUUUCUGCCGAAAGCGGUCACAGAGAAUUUUGGAUUGGUUUUUGAAGGUGUCAGAGUUUGUACAAUUUUUUUUUAUUCUUUUAUAUUGACUAUAUGGAAUAUUGACAAACCAUUUUUUUAAAUGGGCGCUGUAGAAAUCCAAAUAGCUAUUUUCAUCCACCUUUUUGAAGAAGGUGGAUGUGAGGAAGGCUGUAUCGUUGUGAGUGAUAUUGAUGUCCAGAAAAUUUAUACUGUCAUUAUUGUAUUCCAAUGUAUAUUGUAUGCCCCAAUUAUUGCUGUUAAGAUGCUGGAGGAAGGUGGAGAUGGUGACAGGGGAGCCCUUCCAGACAAAAAACAGAUCAUUGAUGUAUCGAUAAUAAACGGCGAUAUUUUGCAUGAUGAUAGGGUUAUUCCAGAUGUAUUCGGUCUCAAAGGCGUCCAUGAAUAUAGUUGCAUAAAAUGGGGAGACCUUUGAGCC
Long non-coding RNA from Hyla sarda, 2147 nucleotides. RefSeq lists it as uncharacterized. The record is from RefSeq and is a predicted model, not a curated record. The transcript has 3 exons. Lineage: Eukaryota; Metazoa; Chordata; Amphibia; Anura; Hylidae.